Molecule: ribosomal RNA, 763 nt
Filed under: uncultured bacterium
Lineage: Bacteria
Description: bacterial SSU rRNA
Rfam family: Bacterial small subunit ribosomal RNA
Source: RNAcentral
GACGAACGCUGGCGGCGUGCUUAACACAUGCAAGUCGAGGGAGGCCGGCCCUUCGGGGCCGAGUCGACCGGCGGACGGGUGAGUAACACGUGACCAACCUACCUUCGGGAGGGGGAUAACCUGGGGAAACCCGGGCUAAUACCGCAUGAAGCACCAUGGUCGCAUGACCGAGGUGUGAAAGGGGGCCUCUGCUUGCAAGCUCCUGCCUGAAGAGGGGGUCGCGACGUAUCAGCUAGUUGGUAGGGUAACGGCCUACCAAGGCUACGACGCGUAGUGGGUCUGAGAGGACGACCCGCCACAUUGGGACUGAGAUACGGCCCAGACUCCUACGGGAGGCAGCAGUGGGGAAUAUUGCGCAAUGGCCGAAAGGCUGACGCAGCGACGCCGCGUGUGGGAGGAAGCCCUUCGGGGUGUAAACCACUGUCAGGAGGGAAGAAACCAGGUCGGUCGAACAGGCCGGUCUGUUGACGGUACCUCCAAAAGGAAGCGCCGGCUAACUCCGUGCCAGCAGCCGCGGUAAGACGGAGGGCGCAGGCGUUGUUCGGAAUUACUGGGCGUAAAGCGCGGGCAGGUGGCCCCGUUAAGUCUGCGGUGAAAUCCGGGACUCAACUCCGGAUAUGCCGCGGAUACUGGCGGGCUAGAGACCAGUAGAGGCGAGUGGAAUUCCUGGUGUAGCGGUGGAAUGCGUAGAUAUCAGGAAGAACACCGGUGGCGAAGGCGGCUCGCUGGGCUGGUUCUGCACUCAUCCGCGAAAGCGUGGGGG